AUUUUAAAUGGCUGCAGUAUUUUGACUGUACAAAGGUAGCAUAAUCAUUUGUCUUUUAAUUGAAGGCUGGUAUGAAUGGUUGGAUGAAAAAUAUACUUUCUUUAUUUUAUAAAAAUAAAUUAACUUUUUAGUCAAAAGGCUAAGAUUUUAUUAUAGGACGAGAAGACCCUAUAGAGCUUUAUUUUCUUUUUAUAUAAUUUUUUUAGUUUUUAAUAAGUUUAUAUAUUUAUGUUAAUUAUUUUGGGGUGACAGAAAAAAUAAUAUAACUUUUUCUACUUUUUUCAUUUAUGUAUGUUGUUUUUGAUCUUAUAUUAUAGAUAAUAAGAUUAAGUUACCUUAGGGAUAACAGCGUUAUUUUCUUAAAGAGUUCUUAUCGAUAAGAAAGUUUGCGACCUCGAUGUUGGAUUAAAAUAAGUGAUAGGAGCAGAAUAUUAUUUACUAGGUCUGU
RNAcentral lists this ribosomal RNA (448 nucleotides) under Lygus pratensis. Its description in RNAcentral is "partial large subunit ribosomal RNA". Lineage: Eukaryota; Metazoa; Arthropoda; Insecta; Hemiptera; Miridae. The record is from RNAcentral.